Molecule: non-coding RNA, 124 nt
Organism: Erwinia tracheiphila
Lineage: Bacteria; Pseudomonadati; Pseudomonadota; Gammaproteobacteria; Enterobacterales; Erwiniaceae
Source: Rfam
CACUCCAACAUGAAUGCGAAUUUUCGUUUCUUUUUUUACUUUAGCACCUGACCACAGGGGGCUUGCGCUAAGAGAAGAAACGAAAAAUCGCGCUGAAGGCCUCCCUUGUGGAGGCUUUUUUAUU